RNAcentral lists this transfer RNA (71 nucleotides) under Stegodyphus mimosarum. It matches the Rfam family "tRNA". Rfam says of the family: Transfer RNA (tRNA) molecules are approximately 80 nucleotides in length. Their secondary structure includes four short double-helical elements and three loops (D, anti-codon, and T loops). Lineage: Eukaryota; Metazoa; Arthropoda; Arachnida; Araneae; Eresidae. The record is from Rfam by way of RNAcentral.
GCCUUUGUGGCGUAACGGUAGCACACUCGGCUCAUAUUCGAGAGGUCCAAGUUGAAAUCCCGACGAGGGCA